This 477-nucleotide ribosomal RNA is filed under the name uncultured bacterium. Its description in RNAcentral is "partial 16S ribosomal RNA". It matches the Rfam family "Bacterial small subunit ribosomal RNA", at positions 30 to 507 of the family's 1533-position model. The record is from RNAcentral.
AUUGAACGCUGGCGGCAUGCCUUACACAUGCAAGUCGAACGGUAACACGUUAAGCUGUCGAUUUUCCGACUGGCGAGUAAUGUAUCGGUACGUGCUCCAUCGUGGUCUAUAAUUUCGUGAAAGAUCAGGUAGUACCGCAUACGCCCUUAGGGCGUACGCCGUGCGUGUCAAAGCCUCGCGUCUUUGGACCUUCCGCUAUCAGAUUAGCUAGUUGGUGAGGUAAAGGCUCACCAAGCCGACGAUCUGUAGCUGGUCUGAGAGGACGACCAGCCACACUGGGACUGAGACACGGCCCAGACUCCUACGGGAGGCAGCAGUGGGGAAUUUUGGACAAUGGGCGCAAGCCUGAUCCAGCCAUGCCGCGUGCGGGAAGAAGGCCUUCGGGUUGUAAACCGCUUUUGUCAGGGAAGAAAAGGAUCUGGCUAAUACCUGGGAGUCAUGACGGUACCUGAAGAAUAAGCACCGGCUAACUACGUG